AGCGAACGCUGGCGGCAGGCCUAACACAUGCAAGUCGAACGAACCUUUCGGGGUUAGUGGCGGACGGGUGAGUAACACGUGGGAACGUGCCUUUAGGUUCGGAAUAACUCAGGGAAACUUGUGCUAAUACCGAAUGUGCCCUUCGGGGGAAAGAUUUAUCGCCUUUAGAGCGGCCCGCGUCUGAUUGGCUAGUUGGUUGAGGUAAUGGCUCACCAAGGCGACGAUCAGUAGCUGGUCUGAGAGGAUGAUCAGCCACAUUGGGACUGAGACACGGCCCAAACUCCUACGGGAGGCAGCAGUGGGGAAUCUUGCGCAAUGGGCGAAAGCCUGACGCAGCCAUGCCGCGUGAAUGAUGAAGGUCUUAGGAUUGUAAAAUUCUUUCACCGGGGACGAUAAUGACGGUACCCGGAGAAGAAGCCCCGGCUAACUUCGU
RNAcentral lists this ribosomal RNA (433 nucleotides) under uncultured bacterium. Its description in RNAcentral is "partial 16S ribosomal RNA". It matches the Rfam family "Bacterial small subunit ribosomal RNA", at positions 29 to 506 of the family's 1533-position model. The record is from RNAcentral.